GUCUCAAAGAUUAAGCCAUGCAUGUCUUAAGUAUAAGCAAUAUAUACAGUGAAACUGCGGAAUGGCUCAUUAAAUCAGUUAUCGUUUAUUUGAUAGUACCUUACUACUUGGAUAACCGUGGUAAUUCUAGAGCUAAUACAUGCUAAAAACCUCGACUUCGGAAGGGGUGUAUUUAUUAGAUAAAAAACCAAUGCCCUUCGGGGCUCCUUGGUGAUUCAUAAUAACUUAACGAAUCGCAUGGCCUUGUGCCGGCGAUGGUUCAUUCAAAUUUCUGCCCUAUCAACUUUCGAUGGUACGGUCUUGGCCUACCAUGGUUUCAACGGGUAACGGGGAAUUAGGGUUCUAUUCCGGAGAGGGAGCCUGAGAAACGGCUACCACAUCCAAGGAAGGCAGCAGGCGCGCAAAUUACCCAAUCCCGACACGGGGAGGUAGUGACAAUAAAUACUGAUACAGGGCUCUUUUGGGUCUUGUAAUUGGAAUGAGUACAAUUUAAAUCCCUUAACGAGGAACAAUUGGAGGGCAAGUCUGGUGCCAGCAGCCGCGGUAAUUCCAGCUCCAAUAGCGUAUAUUAAAGUUGUUGCAGUUAAAAAGCUCGUAGUUGAACCUUGGGCCUGGUUGGUCGGUCCGCCUCACCGCGUGCACUGAUCCGAUCGGGCCUUUCCUUCUGGGGAGCCGCAUGCCCUUCACUGGGUGUGUCGGGGAACCAGGACUUUUACUUUGAAAAAAUUAGAGUGUUCAAAGCAGGCCUAUGCUCGAAUACAUUAGCAUGGAAUAAUGAAAUAGGACGUGUGGUUCUAUUUUGUUGGUUUCUAGGACCGCCGUAAUGAUUAAUAGGGAUAGUCGGGGGCAUCAGUAUUCAAUUGUCAGAGGUGAAAUUCUUGGAUUUAUUGAAGACUAACUACUGCGAAAGCAUUUGCCAAGGAUGUUUUCAUUAAUCAGUGAACGAAAGUUAGGGGAUCGAAGACGAUCAGAUACCGUCGUAGUCUUAACCAUAAACUAUGCCGACUAGGGAUCGGGCGAUGUUAUUUUUUUGACUCGCUCGGCACCUUACGAGAAAUCAAAGUCUUUUGGGUUUGGGGGGAGUAUGGUCGCAAGGCUGAAACUUAAAGAAAUUGACCGAAGGGCACCACCCAGAGUGGAGCCUGCGGGCUUAAUUUGACUCAACACGGGGAAACUCACCCAGUCCAGACACAAUAAGGAUUGACAGAUUGAGAGCUCUUUCUUGAUUUUGUGGGUGGUGGUGCAUGGCCGUUCUUAGUUGGUGGAUUGAUUUGUCUGCUUAAUUGCGAUAACGAACGAGACCAACGUCUUUAAAUAGCCAGGCUAGCUUUGGCUGGUCGCCGGCUUCUUAAAGAGACUUUCUGCUCAAGCAGAAGGAAGUAGUUGGCAAUAACAGGUCUGUGAUGCCCUUAGAUGUUCUGGGCCGCACGCGCGCUACACUGACAGAGCCAACGAGUUUCUUCCUUGUCCGAAAGGGCUGGGUAAUCUUGUUAAACUCUGUCGUGCUGGGGAUAGAGCAUUGCAAUUAUUGCUCUUCAACGAGGAAUUCCUAGUAAGCGCAAGUCAUCAGCUUGCGUUGAUUACGUCCCUGCCCUUUGUACACACCGCCCGUCGCUACUACCGAUUGAAUGGCUAAGUGAGGCUUUCAGACUGGCCCAGGGACGGCGGCAACGCCGACCCAGGGCUGGAAAGUUGUCCAAACUUGGUCAUUUAGAGGAAGUAAAAGUCGUAACAAGGUUUCCGUA
This 1745-nucleotide ribosomal RNA is filed under the name Lemonniera terrestris. RNAcentral describes it as "SSU rRNA". It matches the Rfam family "Eukaryotic small subunit ribosomal RNA". The record is from RNAcentral. Lineage: Eukaryota; Fungi; Ascomycota; Leotiomycetes; Helotiales; Discinellaceae.